This 253-nucleotide ribosomal RNA is filed under the name uncultured bacterium. RNAcentral's name for it is "partial 16S ribosomal RNA". It matches the Rfam family "Bacterial small subunit ribosomal RNA", at positions 524 to 776 of the family's 1533-position model. The record is from RNAcentral.
UACAGAGGUCCCAAGCGUUGUUCGGAAUUACUGGGCGUAAAGGGCUGGUAGGCGGCCAACUAAGUCGGAUGUGAAAUCCCCAGGCUUAACCUGGGAACUGCAUCCGAUACUGGUCGGCUUGAAUCCGGGAGAGGGAUGCAGAAUUCCAGGUGUAGCGGUGAAAUGCGUAGAUAUCUGGAGGAAUACCGGUGGCGAAGGCAGCACUCUGGGACGUGACUGACGCUGAGACGCGAAAGCGUGGGGAGCAAACAGG